GAGUGGNGCGGCCACAUUGGGACUGAGACACGGCCCAAACUCCUACGGAAGGCAGCAG
This 58-nucleotide ribosomal RNA is filed under the name uncultured bacterium. RNAcentral describes it as "partial 16S ribosomal RNA". The record is from RNAcentral.